GACUGGUAUGAGUCACUGUGAUGCCUCCGAGCUGAGCCUCAGUGUUGUCACCUGACACUGACUGUGAGGAGUAAAUGAGACAGUGCAGAAAGAGGACAGAACCCCAUGAACCCAGCUGUGAGGCUCUGUCACCUUCUCCAGCCACGCCUCCCUAAGGAGCCCUGCUCUUCUGUGCACAUCAGCGAACACCAGCACCACGGCUGGUCCCUCAGGGCAGGGCAUGGAGGCCUCGCCUGCCUCUCCUCACAGGUCUUGGCUCACUGGUAGUAAUGUAAGGAGCCACAAAGAACAGGGUGACCAAGUCAUCCUCGUGGCCUGGGACUUCUCUGGUUUCAGCGCUGGAAGUGCCUCAUACCAAGAAUGCACUCGGUCCCUGCCAACUGGAAAUGAUCUUCCACAAGAAUGAACAAGAGAUGCUCUCAUUUAAAAGAAAAGAAACAGAAAAGGUUAUCAGCUAGUAGAGAGGAAAUUCUGCUCUUAACAUAAUGUAGCUUAAAAGAAAAUGCUGCAUUUUGUCAAAGAGUCAGCGAUGAGCCUCUUAUCACAUAUUUGCUCAUAAAGGCAGAAAGGAAGAAUGCUAGCAUGCCAGUGUCCCAUCGUUAACGGGUGGAGGAGAAGAGCAGGCGGAGGAGGAGAACGAUUUCUAUGGGAUUCUCAAAGUAAAUGGGCAAUUUUCAUGCACAUGGAGAAUCUACUUCUGCAGACUGAGUUCAGGCCAGACCUGCUCUGUCAAAGCCCGACAGAGAGACCCGAGAUGGUGAGGGCGGGAGAGGGACAGCGGAGGACCGUGCUAUGGCUUGAGUGUGUUUCCCAAAGUUCCUUGUGUUGGAAACGUAAUCCCUCAUGCAACAGUGUGGAGAUGUGUGAUCUUUCAGUGAUUAAUGGAUGAAUGUGAAAUGAAUUCAUGUCAUUAUGGUGGGAGUGGGUCUACUAUAAAAACAAAGUAAGCCCCUUCUUACCCUCUCUCACGCACUCUCUCACCAUGUGAUGCCCUAUGCCACAUUAUGACACAGCAAAAAGGCCCUCACCUAGUGCAGCCCCUCAGUCUUGGACUCCCCAGCCUCCAGAACCAUGAACCGAAUAAACCUCUAUUGUGGAUAAAUUACUCAGCCUACAAUGUUCUGUUUCAGCCACAGAAAAUGGCUGAAACAUUUGGGAUUCUGGAAGGGACAGGCAGAGCGAAUGAGAGCUGUGGAAAUGAUAACCCCUCCAUGGGUCCAGACUUCACUGUCUAAAAGGUCACUCUAGACCCCCAGCUCAGGGUGAUGCCUGCUGCCUUUGAUCAGAGCCCUCCUGUCAUUGACUGUGACUCAGAUCUGCCCUCUCCACUCCAUCCUCAACCCCAAGAGUCUUCACACCAAUCUGCACCCCAGCUCCAAGCACAAGGCAUUACAAGAAGGUCCAGUGGUUCCUACUUUAGACUACACAACAAAAGAAAUGAAAACCCAGCCCACCGAGGCUUGGCCCCUGUGGGGAUUUCCUUCCCCUGCUCCAUCAGCCAGACAAGGCACCUGCAUCGUGGGUCCUUCAUUCCAUGUGAAUGGAAACCCCGGUCCCUGGCAGAAGUAUUCAUGCUUUGGUUGCAUUUAAAUUGCUGUUCUCUGGGCCAUUUUCAUCCCCUUCUUUUCCAGCCUCCAGCCUCUCAUUUCUGGGGCUCCCAGCCCUCCCUCUCUAAUGCACCCUUUUGUGUUGCUGCAAAUUGCCUUCAGUUCCAUCAAAGCAGACUGCCAGCUUUCCAUAAAGUCCAAAUUUCCUG
Molecule: long non-coding RNA, 1756 nt
Filed under: Homo sapiens (human)
Lineage: Eukaryota; Metazoa; Chordata; Mammalia; Primates; Hominidae
Description: HSALNT0291113
Source: RNAcentral